UGAGUAACGCGUAUGCAACCUACCUACUACUUUGGGAUAGCUCGUUGAAAGACGAAUUAAUACCUUAUAAAACAGGGGCUCCGCAUGGAGAUAUUUGUUAAAGAUUUAUUGGUAGUAGAUGGGCAUGCGUUCCAUUAGUUAGUUGGUGAGGUAACGGCUCACCAAGACAACGAUGGAUAGGGGAACUGAGAGGUUUAUCCCCCACACUGGAACUGAGACACGGUCCGGACUCCUACGGGAGGCAGCAGUGAGGAAUAUUGGUCAAUGGAGGCAACUCUGAACCAGCCAAGUCGCGUGAAGGAUGACUGCCCUACGGGUUGUAAACUUCUUUUUUAAGGGAAUAAAGUGAGCCACGUGUGGCUUUUUGCAUGUACCUUACGAAUAAGGAUCGGCUAACUCCGUGCCAGCAGCCGCGGUAAUACGGAGGAUCCGAGCGUUAUCCGGAUUUAUUGGGUUUAAAGGGUGCGCAGGCGGAAUAUUAAGUCGGCGGUGAA
RNAcentral lists this ribosomal RNA (494 nucleotides) under uncultured bacterium. Its description in RNAcentral is "bacterial SSU rRNA". It matches the Rfam family "Bacterial small subunit ribosomal RNA", at positions 107 to 598 of the family's 1533-position model. The record is from RNAcentral.